Molecule: transfer RNA, 87 nt
Filed under: Vicinamibacterales bacterium
Lineage: Bacteria; Pseudomonadati; Acidobacteriota; Vicinamibacteria; Vicinamibacterales
Description: tRNA-Leu
Rfam family: tRNA
About the family: Transfer RNA (tRNA) molecules are approximately 80 nucleotides in length. Their secondary structure includes four short double-helical elements and three loops (D, anti-codon, and T loops). Further hydrogen bonds mediate the characteristic L-shaped molecular structure. tRNAs have two regions of fundamental functional importance: the anti-codon, which is responsible for specific mRNA codon recognition, and the 3' end, to which the tRNAs corresponding amino acid is attached (by aminoacyl-tRNA synthetases). tRNAs cope with the degeneracy of the genetic code in two manners: having more than one tRNA (with a specific anti-codon) for a particular amino acid; and 'wobble' base-pairing, i.e. permitting non-standard base-pairing at the 3rd anti-codon position.
Source: RNAcentral
GCGAAAGUGGCGGAACUGGCAGACGCGCCGGAUUUAGGAACCGGUAGCCGAAAGGCUGUGGGGGUUCAAAUCCCCCCUUUCGCACCA